AACCAAUGAUGUGAUGAUUCUGUCAAAUGAAAUAAAGUGAUAUCAUUUAUAAAACCAAUCCAUUUUGAUUCUGAGGUU
This 78-nucleotide small nucleolar RNA is filed under the name Octodon degus (degu). RNAcentral describes it as "Small nucleolar RNA SNORD47 (ENSODEG00000022780.1)". It matches the Rfam family "Small nucleolar RNA SNORD47". Rfam says of the family: U47 belongs to the C/D class of snoRNA which contain the C (UGAUGA) and D (CUGA) box motifs. Most of the members of the box C/D family function in directing site-specific 2'-O-methylation of substrate RNAs. Lineage: Eukaryota; Metazoa; Chordata; Mammalia; Rodentia; Octodontidae. The record is from Rfam by way of RNAcentral.